UGUGAGGGAUCAGUGUUUAGAACAGUGC
Molecule: non-coding RNA, 28 nt
Filed under: Homo sapiens (human)
Lineage: Eukaryota; Metazoa; Chordata; Mammalia; Primates; Hominidae
Source: RNAcentral